GCCAAUACUUGGACCUUGAAUAACAAAGGAGUAUGGUGAUUUUGUGUACAGCACAAAGCGCUCAAUUUUAGGAUACAUUUUUAAGCGAUGGGACACACUUGUGAAAGCCUAUAGAUAAUACCACCAGCUCUCCUUACUGGUACAAGCUCUAUGCUGCUGAAAGAUAUCACAGACUCAGAUAAGAAGAUUGAAACAAAACAUCGUAACAUAUUUUAUUCCCAGAAGUGGACAUUUUCGUAACACAGUUUCAUUGAACUCAUUAAUCUGAAUGAAUGCAUCCUAUUAAGAAAAGCAAGCGAAUCAACUGUACUCGAAAAACUCAUCAGCGUCACUCAAAAACUGACCGUUUGGGAAAUCAUAGAAGAUAAUCAACCAGUUAUAUCUCCACCAGCUAGCUGAACGUCAGCAGCAAACGAUACCUCGUUCCACAACUUCGUUGCUGAGUAAUUGAUAUUCUGAGGAGGCCGUCAAAUUCCAUUACAAAUAUCUGGGUAAUAUCUGGAACAUCCGGACUGUCCCUGUAGAAUUUCAGUGACAAAUGUUAUCCCUUCACUGUAUCAUAGCACCAACAGCGAAGAAAUUCAAAUUGGAAUGUGUACCAGUGGAGUUGAAACUUGGCGUUGACUGACCUAGAAGGAUUAGUAUUGACGAGUGACUAAGAGGAACAUUCUAGUUGUAUUUCUGGCUACUUGAAUCAAGAGACCAAAUUAC
Long non-coding RNA from Harmonia axyridis, 711 nucleotides. RefSeq lists it as uncharacterized. The transcript has 4 exons. The record is from RefSeq and is a predicted model, not a curated record. NCBI's taxonomy places the organism in Eukaryota, Metazoa, Arthropoda, Insecta, Coleoptera, Coccinellidae.